AUUGAACGCUGGCGGCAUGCUUUACACAUGCAAGUCGAACGGCAGCGCGGGCUUCGGCCUGGCGGCGAGUGGCGAACGGGUGAGUAAUGCAUCGGAACGUGCCCAGUAGUGGGGGAUAGCCCGGCGAAAGCCGGAUUAAUACCGCAUACGACCUGAGGGUGAAAGCGGGGGACCGAAAGGCCUCGCGCUAUUUGAGCGGCCGAUGUCGGAUUCGCUAGUUGGUGGGGUAAAGGCUUACCAAGGCGACGAUCCGUAGCUGGUCUGAGAGGACGACCAGCCACACUGGGACUGAGACACGGCCCAGACUCCUACGGGAGGCAGCAGUGGGGAAUUUUGGACAAUGGGGGCAACCCUGAUCCAGCCAUGCCGCGUGCGGGAAGAAGGCCUUCGGGUUGCAAACCGCUUUUGUUCGGGAAGAAAUACUCUGGGCUAAUACCCCGGGGGGAUGACGGUACCGGAAGAAUAAGCACCGGCUAACUACGUG
Molecule: ribosomal RNA, 484 nt
Filed under: uncultured bacterium
Lineage: Bacteria
Description: partial 16S ribosomal RNA
Rfam family: Bacterial small subunit ribosomal RNA
Source: RNAcentral